GCAUCACAGCGCAGGUGAAGGAGGCCGGCAUCGCCUGGGACAAAGGAGAAAAGAGGAACCUGGAAGUGCUCCGCUCAUUCCAGAACCAGAUUGCCGCCAUCCAGCGGGAUGCCGUCUGGUGGCUCCACACUGUGGUCCCCUCCAUCAGCAAGCUCGCCCCUAAGGACUACGUGCACUGCCUGCACAAGGUGCUGUUCACAGAGCAGCCGGAGACCUACUACAAGUGGGACAACUGGCCACCCGAGAGUGACCGCAAGGAUUCAGCUGCCGUCUGCGUCCACGUGACUCCAAGCCCCAGCCGCAGCCUCCCCCGGACCCCCGCCUUCCAGUUGCUUCCAGGGCGUCCACGGGCACGCCACCCUUCACGCAGUCUCAGAUGCACCGUCUGCCCCUGCUUCUGUCCAGACAGCCGCACACUGUC
This 421-nucleotide long non-coding RNA is filed under the name Homo sapiens (human). RNAcentral describes it as "non-protein coding lnc-MICALL2-5:1". Lineage: Eukaryota; Metazoa; Chordata; Mammalia; Primates; Hominidae. The record is from RNAcentral.